RNAcentral lists this long non-coding RNA (577 nucleotides) under Chinchilla lanigera (long-tailed chinchilla). RNAcentral's name for it is "lncRNA (ENSCLAG00000023037.1)". Lineage: Eukaryota; Metazoa; Chordata; Mammalia; Rodentia; Chinchillidae. The record is from RNAcentral.
UGAUAGUGAUCAUGUCAGGACAGUUACUACUGCGUCACUGAAGUGUGCAUCUCUGUGUUGUGGUUGGCUGUCUGAUCUAUGCAGUGCAUUGCUGUUAGCUCUGCUCACCCCCGUGCGAGAGGAACACACAGCAGAAAGAGGACUUCUCCAAGGACUUAGGACUUCACUGGACACAGUGCGUUGUUACCUUUGGGCAGGAUGGCCAUCGUGCACAGCACUUCGUCCUCAGAUCCCAUGUACUCCUAUGCAACCGUGACAGACCCAGGGGCAGAUGCCAAGGGGAGCUGAGCCACUUCUUUAGCAAGAAGAUUUUAUCAGAAAAAAAAAGAAAGGAGGAAAAUCAGUAUUCCACUGUUAGUUUGGGGAAAGCGCUAAAGCUAUUUAGGUCAUUGAAGAGUGCUGGCUACAAAUAAAAGCCCGCAUCUCCCAUCUUGAGUAGCAAAGCUGCUGCUGAGCUUACAUCUCUCUGCGGGAGAGGCACAGAAGUUUUCAGACAUGGAGGACGAGGAAAGUUCCAGAUCUCGAAACAGAAUAUCCUGAUUGGAAACUAUAAUAAAAUUUUUCUAAUAACAUGUAU